This is a long non-coding RNA of Acanthopagrus latus (yellowfin seabream), 3662 nucleotides long. RefSeq lists it as uncharacterized. The transcript is spliced from 5 exons. Lineage: Eukaryota; Metazoa; Chordata; Actinopteri; Spariformes; Sparidae. The record is from RefSeq and is a predicted model, not a curated record.
GGUCCACAGGGAAAUGUGUUGUUUCUUGUGAAAAGCUUAAGUAAACGCUUUCACACUGUUUUUCCCACCACUCUUAGUAAUUUUGCGACUCCCAGUUGACAAGUUUGUAGACUCAACUAAAGGUUUAUCCUAAGUGUGUUGUCAGGGAGUCAUUUUACCUAUCUGUUACAAACAAUUUAAUUUAAAAUGAGGGUGUUACUUUUUUUUUUUUCUGUGUGUGUUUACUUGACUGAGUAUUCAACCUGUGUGGUGAAUCGGUCUGCCUUGUUAUAUUCCCAAGUUCUCCAUUCAUGUCUGACAGCAUCAGCGGUGUUACGACAAACGAGAGGAAUCCCUAGAGUUAAAUAACCAGCUUAAAUGGAGGGGUAGCACCUCGGGUUUCCUGUGCACCUAAUGAGAAGGCAAUACUAAACGUGCUGUGAAUGCCUGUGAACAGAGCUGACUGGUGUAAGGUGAGAGCUAAUCAGGCCCUUUCCAUGCUCUAACAACCCUGUGUGCCUUCAACAAUUACAGUGCUGAGGAUUAGUGAGUUGCGCAGAAACACACAAUAAUGUCAAACUGCAAUGAUUAAUUUGAAACGAUGGUUCCUCUUGGUUGCCUCUGCCGAAAAGCACAUGGUGCAUUUGUAUGCAAAUGAAAGUUAGUAGCAGUCCUGAUGCUGGUAGAGUUGUGAGCUGUGGUUGAAGCAAGACUUUUUAACAUUUGUUUAACUGGGAAGUGUUACAGCUGUGUACCAAUGUGGUAUAUCUUAUUUUGCCAUGUUAUCUAUUGCAGAGCGGAGACAGACUGAACACGGAUCUGGUGGAAUUUCUACUUUCAUUAAUCCUUACAAAAACCAACAUGUGAUUUUGUUUUUUACAAGGCAUCUGUUUCUUGGCUAACCAAUGAUAUAUGUUAAUCUCUGAGCUUUAGAAGAACUGCUAGGGGGAGUUGGACAGAACCAGGCUCGCUGUUAUCUCCAGUGCUUAGGCUAAGCUAAGCUAACUGCUCAUGGUGGCUUCAGCUUAUGUGCUGCAGAAACAUUAUUUAGAUUAAUGUGUAUGUCUAAAAAAAUAUAUAUUUCUAAGUGUAAUUUAAUGCUCUACAGUCAAGUUAGAUACCCAAUUAACAGUAUAGUAACCUGGUUUCAUCCUGACAGCAGUCUCCUGCCUUGACUCUCUAAGACAAAACCACCUUAAGGUUUAGUUUCAGUCAUUAAUGAGGUGACGCCCACAUCAAUUGUAAUCGACUGAAUGCCUCCAUUAUUGGCUUGUAAGACAUUGCUGUUGUACCAUUAUCCCUUAAUUAUAUUGAAGGCAGAGCACUGCUGGUGCAGCACCCUCUCUCGUACAGUACAAAAAAAUCAGACGAGGUACUAAUCAUCCUUUAUAGCACACACAAGGCCCGAAGUGUUACCGCCUUUAUUGUUGCACUCUAAUGGAUUCAUUACCAAACAGUGAUUUAUUUGUUUAAGGCAAUGCACGGCUGGUUCAUGGCCUGAGAAUGGAGAGGUACACAUUUAUAUAUUCACACUUAAUGGAGAGUAAAAUAUUUUGGGGGGGGACAAAUCAAGAUCCACACAAAAACAGCAGGAAAUUCAAUAGACCAUUGACAACUAAUGUGUCCUUUGAGAAUUCUGACAAAAUGUCAACUCUGACAUUGGCAGCUGGGUACCUGAGUAUGAUUAAAUGAGAAAAUAAAUGCUAUAUGAAAUGAACAUGAAACUAAUUUUUGAAAAUGAUCUCAUCACCGAUUAUGUUGACUUUCACAGGUUGUAUUUGCUGAACAUCUGAAGAGUAAUUUUAGUGCUGACGCCUGACUAUAAUUCCAAACAGUCAUUCAUAAUUACAUCACUUGAGACCCCGAAGAUGCACCUGUUUCCUCUAUGGCCUGCUCUCCUACAGCCUGCUGCUGUGUUUCCUACAGACAAAAUAAUUCAAUUAUGGUGAUGAUUUUAUUGGGUUUCUGGACUGAAAUUCAAAUCACAUUGUUUCCUUUUUCAUGUUGCUGGCAACCCGACUGCUAGCCGACGGAUGACGGAAGCCAGGAUUAGCUCAGACUUGACAAUACUGUCACAGUGGAAAGACUACUGAUGUUCUUGCUAUCAAGAUUCAUUGAAUCAAUGUGGCUACUGCUAGCUGCUUUAAUACCUUUAACUCACGCUCCUGGUGUCCCUUUUCUUUUUUUGGGCAAUAGAGGAAAGGGAGCGAGUCACUCGAAAGAUUAAAUUUUGGAGCUUGCGUGAGGUAUGGAAUGAAGACCACUGACUUAGUGUUAUCAGCACACCAAUUAGCUCUCAUCUCCUCUGGUCCUGGCAGUUGAUAUGUCAAAUAUCAAAUUUCCACAUGGCGCGAUGCUUCAAACCCCUCCCUUUCAGCAAAUCAAAUGCUACCUGCACUCCAUACCUGUAUAGACCCUAUUCAUGGCAGCCAUAAUGAGAUGAAAUAGAAGGUGCUUUCUCUCUGCUCGGUGUAGUGUGACAGCAGGAAGUUAUAUCUCUGAUUCCCAUGCAGAUCUGACCUCCAACGUCUCAUCUGACUUGACCUACUUUCAUCACCUCAUAUUAUUCAAAUAUAUCCAAAUCUCCUUGCUUCCUGGACUCGCUGAGAGGAAAACGCUGCUCCAGAAACGCCUCGUCAGGAGUUUCGCCUUUAAUUCUGUGACUUUUUGACAUCCCUACUAUGGACAGACCAGUGCAGCUCUGCAAUGCACUAGCAUGACGCAUGACGACAUACAAUAUACAGCGUCCACUGCAAGGGGGCUAUCUAUCAAAACAAAACGAAAGAUGUUUGCCAAGUGCUGUUUGGAGGAGCGGGGUGAGGCAAAGGCUCAACUGGAGAUUCUGGACCCUCUGGAGAAUUGACACCUGGAGUCACUUCAGUCACAAUACUUCUCUGAUCCAGAACCGUUAACCGACGGGAGGAGGGCUCAGAGAUUAAUUUUAUCUUUCGGGAUUAAAAAGUGGAUUCAUCUUCACUCCUGUUUAUCAACCCGACUGCAGCAGAGAUCUCUUUAAAGAUGCUGUGUGAUGUUGCCUGCCGAUUAGCGCUGGAGUGGAAAUGUACUUCACUUCAUGAACAUAACGUUACAGAGAGGAGAGUCUCUGAUAGUUGUCACAGAAGGGGGGCGGCCUCCGACAGCCUGGCCUCCAUCAGGCAAGUCCUGACCCGUUCCCACUGAGCUCCAGCAGGGUCACCUGAGGUCUAUUAACAGAGAACAACCUGUGCCAGGGGAGGAGAUCGAAAGAAGGCAAACAGUGGAAGCUGAUGAAUGUGACUGGCUGCAUCGAUACUGCGGUCCUCGGGUUUCCCCUCUAAUCAGUAACAUGUUGUUCUUGUGACAACCCGCAGACACCCAAAUGUUAUUGAAUUCAUGAGCUAUUGCUGGAGAGAUUAUUUGUAAUUAAUCAACAGUGAAAAGCUGACUGCCACGAGAUAUCCAUUUCUGACGAGUGCUGGAUGCACACACAGGCUGUAAGAAACGUUUCGCAGCUACUGAGGUGGGCGUCCAGAAUGUGCUCGGUGCCUGAGAACCACUUUAGGUGUGAUUCAUUCUGACAGAAGACUCUGUGUUCUCCUGCUCGAGGAGACUUUUCCACAAUGCCUCGCUCCAGUUAGGGAAGUGAGUGUGAUGACCCAGCUCACCUUUUGCGCUGCCCAUUAUAGUGCAGUAUAUCUGCCAAA